Long non-coding RNA from Oncorhynchus tshawytscha (Chinook salmon), 1462 nucleotides. The record is from Ensembl. Lineage: Eukaryota; Metazoa; Chordata; Actinopteri; Salmoniformes; Salmonidae.
AGAACACGGAGGGAGAUGAAAGGCACUUAUUGAUAUCUCCAGCCAGAUGUGAUAGUAAUGACCCUGUUUAUGACCUUCUCCUCAUCCUCCUUUGGGGUUAUGGAAUCGUGAUACCAAAGCCGAUUAGGAAGUAAAGGCCAUGUUUAUGGUCAUAAGAUUAUAAAUGGAAGAAAAAAUAUAAAAAAACAUGCUUUUUUGUUGUCUGAACAUUUUAUUAUGGGAUGGAAUGUUUGGUAGCUGAGUGUAAACCCCUCCCCCUUAACAGAUACACAGCUCAUAGUAGAGAUGGAGGUUCUUGCAACCAAUUCUUCAUUUGACCUGUGUGUGUGUGUGUGUGUGUGUGUGUGUGUGUGUGUGUGUGUGUGUCUCAGUGUGGCUCUAGGCUUUGGGCCCGUCAUCUAGACGGUAACGUUUCCAUGGAACCAUCCCCUCUAGGUAAAUCUCCCGAACUUCAGGCUACAAAUAGUUCUGCAAUUUCAUAUGCACAUAAAAUGGGCCUGAAGAACACACACACACACACACACACACACACACACACACACACACACACACAACUCACAAUCUAUUAUAGACACACACAACUCACAAUCUAUUAUACACACACACACACAAACUCACCACAUACCACGCACAGUACUGUUACAGAUUGAGAAACCCGUUGUUACUCUGAGAUAAAUAUCUAUUGACCUGACAAAUAAGUCAUUUUAUAGAAAGACUUCAAUAAUAUAUGGUUCGGUCUUAACCCAAAUGUAUGACAUAAGUAUUAUGUGAAACAUAUGUAGCUUGUGUAAUGCAAAAUAACAAUUCCUAAUACAUAUGGGCUGCAGGUAGCCUAGUGGUUAGAGUGGGGGAGGCAGGUAGCCUAGUGGUUAGAGUGGGGGAGGCAGGUAGCCUAGUGGUUAGAGUGGGGGAGGCAGGUAGCCUAGUGGUUAGAGUGGGGGAGGCAGGUAGCCUGGUGGUUAGAGUGUAGGGGCGGCAGGUAGCCUGGUGGUUAGAGUGUAGGGGCGGCAGGUAGACUGGUGGUUAGAGUGUAGGGGCGGCAGGGCAGCCUAGUGGUUAGAGUGUAGAGGGGGCAGGGCAGCCUAGUGGUUAGAGUGUAGAGGGGGCAGGGCAGCCUAGUGGUUAGAGUGUAGAGGGGGCAGGGCAGCCUAGUGGUUAGAGUGUAGAGGGGGCAGGGCAGCCUAGUGGUUAGAGUGUAGAGGGGGCAGGGCAGCCUAGUGGUUAGAGUGUGGGGGCGGCAGGUAGCCUAGUGGUUAGAGUGUUGGGCCAGUGACCUGAAAGUAGUUAGUAUAUAUACAGUAGUUAGUAUAUUCAGAUAGCUAGGUGAGACAACCACAUAUCACAGUAGUUAGUAUAUUCAGAUAUCUUCAGACCCAUCCCCAGUGCCCAGUCCACAGUCCUAUUCCCCAAUCCAUUACCUCAGCAGUACCAGUCAGUCCAUUACCUCAGCAGUACCAGUCAG